AGAACGAACGCUGGCGGCGUGGAUAAGACAUGCAAGUCGAGCGCUGAUUAAGAGGUAGCAAUACUUUUUAAUUGGAGCGGCGCAAGGGUGCGUAACACGUAGGUAAUUUGCCAUGAAGUUGGGGAUAACUCGCUGAAAGGCGAGCUAAUACCGAAUGUGGCCCGCGGGAGGCAUCUCCUGUUGGCUAAAGUUGGGGACCGCAAGGCCUGACGCUUUAUGAUAAACCUGCGGCCUACCAGCUAGUUGGCGGGGUAACGGCCCACCAAGGCGAUGACGGGUAGCUGGUCUGAGAGGACGACCAGCCACACUGGAACUGAGACACGGUCCAGACACCUACGGGUGGCAGCAGUCGAGAAUUUUUCACAA
This 366-nucleotide ribosomal RNA is filed under the name uncultured bacterium. RNAcentral's name for it is "SSU rRNA". It matches the Rfam family "Bacterial small subunit ribosomal RNA", at positions 26 to 371 of the family's 1533-position model. The record is from RNAcentral.